CUUGCUGUGGUACUCGAGUGGCGAACGGGUGAGUAACACGUGGGUGAUCUGCCCUGUACUUCGGGAUAAGCUUGGGAAACUGGGUCUAAUACCGGAUAGGAAUCACAUGUGGGUGUGUGGUUGGAAAGCUUUUGCGGUAUGGGAUGAGCUCGCGGCCUAUCAGCUUGUUGGUGGGGUAAUGGCCUACCAAGGCGUCGACGGGUAGCCGGCCUGAGAGGGUGUACGGCCACAUUGGGACUGAGAUACGGCCCAGACUCCUACGGGAGGCAGCAGUGGGGAAUAUUGCACAAUGGGCGCAAGCCUGAUGCAGCGACGCCGCGUGGGGGAUGACGGCCUUCGGGUUGUAAACUCCUUUCGUCAGGGACGAAGCGAAAGUGACGGUACCUGGAUAAGAAGCACCGGCUAACUACGUGCCAGCAGCCGCGGUAAUACGUAGGGUGCGAGCGUUGUCCGGAAUUACUGGGCGUAAAGAGCUCGUAGGUGGUUUGUCGCGUCGUUUGUGUAAGUCCACGGCUUAACUGUGGGAUGGCAGGCGAUACGGGCAUAACUUGAGUGCUGUAGGGGAGACUGGAAUUCCUGGUGUAGCGGUGAAAUGCGCAGAUAUCAGGAGGAACACCGAUGGCGAAGGCAGGUCUCUGGGCAGUAACUGACGCUGAGGAGCGAAAGCAUGGGUAGCGAACAGGAUUAGAUACCCUGGUAGUCCAUGCCGUAAACGGUGGGCGCUAGGUGUGAGUCCCUUCCACGGGGUUCGUGCCGUAGCUAACGCAUUAAGCGCCCCGCCUGGGGAGUACGGCCGCAAGGCUAAAACUCAAAGGAAUUGACGGGGGCCCGCACAAGCGGCGGAG
Molecule: ribosomal RNA, 845 nt
Filed under: Corynebacterium sanguinis
Lineage: Bacteria; Bacillati; Actinomycetota; Actinomycetes; Mycobacteriales; Corynebacteriaceae
Description: bacterial SSU rRNA
Rfam family: Bacterial small subunit ribosomal RNA
Source: RNAcentral